CUUUAUGCCAUCUAGAGAGAUUAUUAUGGUUUUGGAGAAUGUGUUGGAAUAGAAAUGGGUUCUGUAUUUCGGCAGAGGUGGGAUGGAAGCUGAUUUGAAUCCUGCUUUCACCUAUGAUGCGCUCAAGGAAAACGACAAACGCAACUUUGCCCUCCUCACCACGAGAAAAGUCAUAAACUUAUUCUGAUGUUAUUAUAACGUAAGUGAGAUAAGUUCGCAAGAAGACUGUAGCCUAGAAACUGAUCUUCAAAAUGAAAGUCAUUCCUGUGUAUGUAAAGAACAGCGUAAGAUCAAAAACUGCACUAAAUGUUUACAUCCUUUGAUAAAUUUUACUAAUUUAAAUCAUGCAAUUUCAUAUUCAUAGUUUAAAUUUUUGCAAACAAGUGAUGUCUUGUUGUAGGUAGUGAGAAGGCGCCGAACGCAGAGGGUUAAUACGGU
Stegodyphus dumicola is the source of this 438-nucleotide long non-coding RNA. NCBI's taxonomy places the organism in Eukaryota, Metazoa, Arthropoda, Arachnida, Araneae, Eresidae. The record is from RefSeq and is a predicted model, not a curated record.